Molecule: long non-coding RNA, 253 nt
Filed under: Mytilus galloprovincialis (Mediterranean mussel)
Lineage: Eukaryota; Metazoa; Mollusca; Bivalvia; Mytilida; Mytilidae
Source: RNAcentral
GCCUAGGAAUAAUAAACCGCAUUAUUUGACAAACUUCAUAAUAAAAUUAGAUGGAGGGGUGUAUAUAUUAGUGCGAAAAGAUGUUUUUGUCGACGCUUGCGCUAUAUGUUUCCGAUACUAAAUACCAGAUAAAGUUACCCUAUUUUCUUUGAUUUAAAUGGAAAACAAAAAUUAAGUUUGUUUUUUCUUGAGGUGUCAUUCUACCAUUGAUUUUCCCUAGUAAGUCCUUGUUAAAUUUGCACUUUUUAAAAAA